This is a long non-coding RNA of Hibiscus syriacus, 1533 nucleotides long. RefSeq lists it as uncharacterized. Lineage: Eukaryota; Viridiplantae; Streptophyta; Magnoliopsida; Malvales; Malvaceae. The record is from RefSeq and is a predicted model, not a curated record. The transcript has 3 exons.
UGAAACUAUUCAACAAAAAAACAGAGCUCGUUUUCUGCCUAGUCAAGGAUUUCAACGGCGAUCAUCAUCAUCAUCAUCUGCUUCUCCACUUUGCGAUUCAAUUUCACCAGCAGCUACUUCAGUUGCAGUAAAUAUUCCUCAUGAUAGAGGGCGUGAGGCUCAUUCUGAUGGCGAUGUGGUGCUUCAUUAUGUUGCAGAUAUUUCCAGACUCUGACCCUAAGUGAAUAGGGGCUGCAUCUUCUACCUUCAUAAAAAAAUAGUAAGUUGAUCCAAUGAACUGCAUAUGAAGUGCUGCAUUGGAGCUGAACUUUGAUGUUUUGGUUUUGAUUCUGAUAGUGACUUCCCAACCAAGAUGCAAUGAACCUUAGUACUUUAUUUGAUACAAUGAACCUGACAGGGAAUGAAUCCUUUUCUUCAGAACAGCUUUGUUGUUUGUUUAAUGUUGAAAAUGAGAUUUAUGUCAUAUUGGACUUUUAUCACUAAUUUGUAAGUGCAUGUACAUGAUAAAGGAAACUUCAUCUAUCCUUAUAUUCUAUGCAGCCUGUGCAAGUGAUUCUACACGUGGAUACAUCUUCUAAACAUGGUUUGUUUUUUACUUGUAUGUAUAUAUGGUAUUCUUUCACUGCAGAAUUUUGACAGUAACCUCACCAACCACGAUUCGACCUUCAAACAACCUAAUAUGUUUGUGGUUGGAAACUGCAUCAACUUAUAUUCUCGACUGAACUAUAGAUAGAUAUUCAUUUAUGUGCUGGAAGAUCCUUUAUCAUACCUGACGUCCAAAGUGAUGCUAUGUGCUGAUAUCAAUCUAGGCCUUUAAGUGAACUGCUAUAUUAUAUCUUAUGCUAUAUGCCUUGCCUGGAAGUUGUCUCGUUCGGGUUUCCGUACGGUUUUUAUACCGGAGAGUCCUUUCUGAUGUCAAUCUAGGCCUUUAAGUGAACUGCUAUAUUAUAUCUUAUGCUAUGUCUUGCCUGGAAGUUGUCUCGUACGGUUUUCAUACUGGAGAAUCCUUUCUGAUGUCAAUCUAGGCCGUUAACUGAAUGAAUGAUUGUUGCCCUUAUGCCUAUUAUGGAACUAAUUUCAGGGACUUGGCUGUUAGCUGUUGUAAAAAGAUUACUUAAUCCGUGAUUGCCAAACUAAAUUUGGAUUAUGUAAUAUGGUCAAGUUUAUCAUUCUGUGCCAUCAUUGUUUACAUCUUCUAUUCCAGGAAUAUAGACUUGGUUCCUCUGUUUACAGUGCAUUUAGAUUAAUCAUGGUCAUCCUCUGAAGCAUAGUUCAUUUCAGGUGAGACUCAUGCAUGAAUGAGGCUGGUUAUGAGAUUAGACACUUAGAUGCCACCUUAAUUCUUCAAAAACCGAGCCCACACAAGGAGUUUAUCAAAACCAACUUGUCCGAUCUGCUAGUCGCCGACCCCGUUGUAAAUUUUAAGGCUAAUCUGUAGUAAAAGUGAAUGUUGUUAUCUCUAAAAGAUCAAAGUUCGAGCACUUAUGUUUGCAAGGUGUGCUCGUAUACUUCCGAAGCUGUGGUAUUGCUUGU